Molecule: ribosomal RNA, 442 nt
Filed under: uncultured Fimbriimonas sp.
Lineage: Bacteria; Bacillati; Armatimonadota; Fimbriimonadia; Fimbriimonadales; Fimbriimonadaceae
Description: bacterial SSU rRNA
Rfam family: Bacterial small subunit ribosomal RNA
Source: RNAcentral
CCUACGGGUGGCAGCAGUUGGGAAUCUUGCACAAUGGGGGAAACCCUGAUGCAGCGACGCCGCGUGGAGGACGAAGGAUCUAGGUCUGUAAACUCCUUUUUCACGGAAAGACUUAGGACGGUACCGUGAGAAUAAGCACCGGCUAACUACGUGCCAGCAGCCGCGGUAAGACGUAGGGUGCAAGCGUUGUCCGGAUUUACUGGGCGUAAAGAGCGCGUAGGCGGCUCGUUAAGUAUGAAGUGAAAUCUCCAGGGCUCAACCCGGAAACUGCUUCGUAGACUGGCGAGCUUGAGGAAUGCAGAGGUAAGUGGAAUUCCUGGUGUAGCGGUGAAAUGCGUAGAUAUCAGGAGGAACACCGACGGCGAAGGCAGCUUACUGGGCAUUAUCUGACGCUGAGGCGCGAAAGCGUGGGUAGCAAACAGGAUUAGAUACCCUGGUAGUC